GGGGAUGUAGCUCAGAUGGUAGAGCGCUUGCUUAGCAUGCGAGAGGUACGCGGAUCGAUACCCCGUAUCUCCA
RNAcentral lists this transfer RNA (73 nucleotides) under Theobroma cacao (cacao). It matches the Rfam family "tRNA". Rfam says of the family: Transfer RNA (tRNA) molecules are approximately 80 nucleotides in length. The record is from Rfam by way of RNAcentral. Lineage: Eukaryota; Viridiplantae; Streptophyta; Magnoliopsida; Malvales; Malvaceae.